Molecule: ribosomal RNA, 410 nt
Filed under: bacterium
Lineage: Bacteria
Also listed under: 1 other name
Description: bacterial SSU rRNA
Rfam family: Bacterial small subunit ribosomal RNA
Source: RNAcentral
GUGGGGAAUAUUGCACAAUGGGCGCAAGCCUGAUGCAGCGACGCCGCGUGAGGGAUGGAGGCCUUCGGGUUGUAAACCUCUUUUAUCGGGGAGCAAGCGAGAGUGAGUUUACCCGUUGAAUAAGCACCGGCUAACUACGUGCCAGCAGCCGCGGUAAUACGUAGGGUGCAAGCGUUAUCCGGAAUUAUUGGGCGUAAAGGGCUCGUAGGCGGUUCGUCGCGUCCGGUGUGAAAGUCCAUCGCUUAACGGUGGAUCCGCGCCGGGUACGGGCGGGCUUGAGUGCGGUAGGGGAGACUGGAAUUCCCGGUGUAACGGUGGAAUGUGUAGAUAUCGGGAAGAACACCAAUGGCGAAGGCAGGUCUCUGGGCCGUUACUGACGCUGAGGAGCGAAAGCGUGGGGAGCGAACAGG